RNAcentral lists this ribosomal RNA (324 nucleotides) under uncultured bacterium. RNAcentral's name for it is "partial 16S ribosomal RNA". It matches the Rfam family "Bacterial small subunit ribosomal RNA", at positions 187 to 490 of the family's 1533-position model. The record is from RNAcentral.
CACAUGUUGCAUGAUCAAAGAGGCCUCUGGCUUGCAAGCUCUCGCCAAGGAGGGGGUCGCGACGUAUCAGUUUGUUGGUGGGGUAACGGCCUACCAAGACUACGANNCGUAGCGGAUCUGAGAGGAUGAUCCGUCACAUUGGGACUGAGAUACGGCCCAGACUCCUACGGGAGGCAGCAGUGGGGAAUAUUGCGCAAUGGACGAAAGUCUGANGCAGCGACGCCGCGUGUGGGAGGAAGCCUUUCGGGGUGUAAACCACUGUCAGAGGGGNAGAACAGCGUCUGUUCGAAUAGUUCAGGCGUUUGACGGUACCCUCAGAGGAAG